Acinonyx jubatus (cheetah) is the source of this 12506-nucleotide long non-coding RNA. RefSeq lists it as uncharacterized. The transcript has 4 exons. The record is from RefSeq and is a predicted model, not a curated record. NCBI's taxonomy places the organism in Eukaryota, Metazoa, Chordata, Mammalia, Carnivora, Felidae.
GCCCUCCGUGCCUCUCUUCCAAUCAAGGCCUCAUAUUUCUUUAUACCUGCAGGAGAGAGGGGCAGUGGAAGAGAAAGUGAGGCACCGGUUAAUAAGCCAAUGGUCGGAGCAGGGAAGAUGGGUUUGUAGGGUCCCUUAAUAAUUGCCUCUCAUCCCUAUCCUCUACCAUUAGGGAGCCCUCUCACCUCUUCAGCAAGCCAGGAUAAUAGCGAAAACCUUACAACGUUUGUACCACAUCUGACAGUUUUACAAAGCAGUAUUACAUAUCCCAUCUUAUUGCAGCCUCCUAUUGAUCUUGUUGGGUUGGCCUUGACCCCUUGGAAAAGCCUUCCCCUGAAAGCACUGGGAUCUGGCCCAUAAGAACCCUGUCCCACUGGGCCACUUUUACCCUGGGGACACAACUCUCACUGAGCCGCAGCUCAACCAGCCACAUUCCUGCUCUGCUCCUGAACAACUGGCCUCCUCUGCCAGGAGCCUUCCCACCCAUUUGAGACCUCUGCUAAUAAACAGAGCCAGGAAGGAGACUCACAGGCAAAUGGGGACCUCAGGUCUUAGCCCUUGUCCUAGGAUUAGAAAAAGGAAUGUCCAGAAGCUUGAGUUGUAGCUUAACCUCAAGGUUGACUCAUACAAGGCCACAAAACAAAGAGUCACAGUGUCCACGGAGCCACCCUGAUGCUCUACUUCUAUCUUUGAAAGAGGCCCUAUGACAGGGCUGUUGGGCAAGAUAUGAGCUGGGAUUUGGCCUUGCAUAAUCUGGCCUUGCAGCAUCCCGUUCAGAGCAAGUACGGUGCAUGUAAAGCAGCCUUGGCCCUCCCACAGGGCUUGGAGGGAGCAGCAAAGCCCUGGAGCAGAGGGCCUCAGCCCUGCAGGGCUCUGCGGUCAGGGGCGGGGGAGAGGGGGCCCAGAGGAGGGCAGUGCAGCUGACCCAGGCACAAGCCAUCCAUCCCAGGAGGCUCCCGGCAGCCCCUGGGGUGAGAAAGGCAGGCAGUGGGUAGCUCACUAGGCCCUCUCCUGGGGUUUGGGGAGGCAUUCAAAGGCAGAUCCUUCCUAGCACCAUCUAUCCACUCAUCUGGGAGCCAAGCAGGCCUGAGGUGGGUGCUCCUGUACUUAAGGCUAGAGAAGUUAGGCAGGAUUACAGAAUAAAACUUGGGUGUUCCUAAUCUCCAAGGAGGAGAGGUGGCUGGCAUUGGGGUCUCUGAGGCCGUGUACAAGGUCUAACUUCCUACUUAACCAAAAUUUUUUUUUAAGUCUCCUUUUGCCCUACGAGAGGUUCAGCAGACAUCCUGCCCAUACUCUGGAGUCACGCACAUCCCAUGACAGGUUUCCUCUCCCUGCCAAAGAUGGCCUUGGCCUCCUCAGAGACCCCCAUCCUCACCUCUUCUUCCCCUUUACUUACCCACAUUGAAGAUGUAGAGGGGCAGCCAGUAGAGGAAGGUGUAACUGACCAGCUUGGCAAAGAGCAGACACAAAGAGAACUCGACCACACCCUGGAGAGCAUAACAGAAGGCAUGAGGGAAGAGAUACAAGAGAUCCCUGGCCCAGGGUAGCCCCAGGGGCUGACUCAGCACCCCAGGGCUGCCACCACCUAGCCACAAAGCAACCUCAAGUACACCUCCAUCCAAUCCCAGUAAAAGCGAUGUGCCUAUGCUCCAGUGCUGUGUCAAGGCAAGCCUCCCAUGUUACUCCCCCCAAGUUGGCUAUUCACCCUAAGCAUCUCAUGUAAAGAAAUUCUGGAAGCCAUAGGUCACCCCGAGCGUCCCCCCAUCUCCUGACAUACAGCAGAGAAAUCUAGAGAGCCUCUCUCUUCCCUCCAUCCUGCAAGCUUCUCACCGGGAUCCGGAGCGCCCCGAGGAAGCUGAUGGCGGCAGGCUGAGCGCUCGGCUCCUUGGAGCAUCUGGCGGGGGUCUCCAGGCUGCUCUCCUUGUUAGUGUACGGACCACUCCCAAGGUCCUCAGGGUUGUGCUGGUUCUCUUCCAACCCAUCCUGAACAGAGAUGAGCCCUUGCUGUGAGCACAUUUGCGUACCACCUCCCACCAGCUGGAGGUAUAAGCCACGUGAGAGGUAGGGGUUCCCAGGCUGGAAGAGGUACACGCUCCUCUCCUGGACUGAACUACCAUCCGGCGAGGCCCGAUCAGGCUGUCGGGGAGCCAACCUGAGGGCCUGACACUGAGCCCGUGAGGUAACCCACUGAGCUCGUGGGUACACGAGCCCCUCCUCCAACUCCCUAGUCCCCUCUGGGACCUGUCUCUGAGGAUGGAUUGGCAGGGUGGGGGUCGGGCUGGGGGCACUCACACUCGUGUGGUGCUGAGGAGGCGUGCAGUCCACAUCUUCGGGGUCUGAAAAAAACAACCCGCUAAGAAGCUUCCUGGCGGGCCAGCCCCCGCUCCCUAAGGUGGCCAGUCUACUUCCCAGCACAAGGGAGCCUGCAACCCAGGUUCGAGAGACACAUUCUAAGUGUGGCUCCCCUAACAACCACCUGGGUCACUACUGCCUUGUGGACUUCCGUUCUCUUGCUACAAAGUGGCCACCCUGCCCGGCCUAGCUCUGUCUCCGAAGGCUGUCAGGGAAUGGGGAAGAGGACAGGGAAUGGGGAAGAGGACAGUGGAUGGGGAGUGUCCCGUCACCCCCACUCUCCCCUUCUCACACUUCAGAGUCAGCUGGCACUUGCCGAGCACAACUACAGGCCGUGCGUCCCAACUGUACGUCUCACUGACACCUUAACCAACCCCCAACCCUAGGAAGUAGAUGCUCUUAUUCUUAAUUUACAAAUGAGAAAACUGAGGCCCAGAGAGGUUGUCUGUCCCGGGUCACAUACAGGUCCUCCAGCUCCACGACCAGUAAUCCUCCCCCUCGAGCCAGCUGCCUUCUCUCAGACCCCGAGAGGAGAAGAGGGAGGUUCAGUUCUGAGCCCUGUGGGGAGGGAGGGAGGGGUCCGCUCACAUUCGAUGAGGAAGAGGAAGGUGAUGACACCCAUAGCAGCGGUGAUGAUGCCAGGCACCACAAACGACAGGCCCCACUGCUCAUUCACCCAGAUGCCAGCAAUCAGGGAGCCCAGGAUGUUGCCCACAGACGUGUGUGAGUUCCAGAUGCCCAUGAUAAGCCCCCGCCUGGAGGGGAGGGAGCAAUGGCGGGGAAAGGAAGGGGAGGAGAGUAAAUAAAUAAAUAAAUAAAUAGUCAGAGAAGCACAGGGUUCAUCACAACUGCCCUGGCCAAGUGCAAAACGCUGGCUGCCUCCAGCCUCCAAGCCCAAAGACAGCCAGUCAGGGAGGAGGCGGAAGGCUUGCCUAGCGUCAAGCAAGUGACAACGAGGCCUGGGGUCCUGCUCCCCUCUGCCAGCAACCAGAGGCAGCACACGCGGGGGCUUCCAGAUGGAGCUCUCCCUGUCCUGAGGACAUCAAGCCCCCCCACCCCCAACCCCACUAUGGCUGCUGGUCCUCCACCAGGGCCACUCUGCCUCCAGGGGACAUUGGCAAAGUCUAGAGAUUUUGCACUGGCCCAGCCCCAGGUGUGCUACUGGCAUCUAGUGGGUAGGUGCUGCUAAACCCCCUACAGUGUGUCAGGUGGCCCCACAGCAAAGAAUGAUCCAGGCCCGAAUGUCGGUAGGGCUGAGCUGGACAAUCUCUGCUCUAAAGCAACAUUUUUUUUUUUUUUUUUUUGCACGAAAGCCAGUUCAAGUACAAAAUAAUAAUAAUAAUAAUAACCACAAUAAUAAAGUUUUAACAGUCUCCAUUUUUAUCUUCAUGCAAGAUGAGAAUUUGUCUGUUAUGAGGCGAAAGCAUAACUAAGGUCGCCUGUUUUUAUGGAUUAAAACCUUAUCAAGGAGCAAAUCAGCACUGCUUUUUAGUCACCAAAUGUGACUAAACGUGAAAGUCAGCGAGACAGACACAGGUUCUAACCCUUCUCCCUGAAAUUAUACCGGGACCGUGAGUGACCUCCUCACUCCCCGCAGCCCUCCCAGGGUAACCCCCCUCUCCUCCUCCCUCGCCACACUCACUUUCCCUUCCCGAACCAGUUGCCAACGCAGGUCACCACAGAGGGCCAGCCUGUGGUCUGGACAAGCCCAUUACAGAUCUGCAGGGAGACCAGAAGUUAGUGGGACAGGCCUGGGCCGGGCAGCAAACUCCCAGCUCUGACCCCUCCCAGGCCGAGGGGCCUCCACGGCCCACCCUACAAGUGCCCUCUUCCCUCACACACACCCUAAUGCCACAGGUUGGUUUCUCCUCUGGCCCAAGAUCCUUCCCUGCAGAGACCGAGCCCCUCAGGCAUCUCAGGGACCUCGGGGUAGUGCUCAGUGCAGACUUAGGGAGGAUCUGUGUGAUCCUGAGAAGUGGAAGUAGGACCGCAAGGCUCAACAGAGGAGCACUGGGCUGUGAAGAAGUUAUCCCCAGCCCAAAUCUGCCACCACCUGGGGGUGUCUGGGAAGGACCAGCAGCCUCUGCAAUCCUUCCCAUGAUGGAGCAGAGGUCUGAAUGCAAGACAGAGGCUCGUACCUGGAUGAGCACAAAGUACCAGAGCAUGUGGAUGUUCCAGAAAUAUCCUAGGCCAAAGAGCGAGGUGAAGAGGCCACUGAGCAGCAUUCCAGCUGACAGGUAAUAACGGAGGGGGAGCCGCUCCCCAAAAAUCCCGCUGGAGAAGAGAGAGUAGGAUUUGUGGUCAGUCACCAUCUGCACUCCUCACCUCUGCCACAUACUUCCUCCCCCGCCACACCACUGACACAGCUCUGGCCCAGGUGACCACCAGUGACCUCUGUGUUGCCUGCCACACGCCAGGGAUGCUCUCUGGCCUCCUCUCACUGGACUUCCCUGCCUUAGCUGCCACUGCUGAACAUGCUCCUUAAACUGUCUCCGUGGCCUCCUCCCCUCGCUCCCCUCGGCUCACCACUGGACAUUUACUUUCCCUGGGGCACAGUUUCCUGCAUCAGUUUUGUGGUUGUAACUACCACCUAGAUAUAAAAUAGCUCCAACCACAUAUUUUCCAUCCUGAUCUCUCACCCUGCAGGAUCACACCCAGGUGCCUUCUGGACAUCUUCACUUGGGUACCCCCGAAACAUCUGCAACUCAACACCCUGAACUCUCCCUCCUCCUUCCCCACUCAGUCCCUUGGCCUGAGCCCUCUUCUGAGUGAGUGUGGGCUACCUCUGAAGGAUCCCAGUUCAGGACAAGCCGUAUUUGUCCAGCCACACCACCACCACUGUCAUCUGAGAGAAUAACCUCAGAAGGAGCAUCCAGGAAAGACUUUCCAGGAAAAGAAGAGUCUGUCUGCAAGGUGACGGAGGAGGCCGGGUGACCAAGGCCAGCCUCACCUUGACAACACUGAUGGGCUUCCUGGACAUGUGAUAACAGGUAUAAAUGAAGAAGGUGAGUAGCAGGAUGAAGCCUCGGAACCUGCAGGAAAAGGCAGGCAUCUGGGUCAGCAGGAAGUUGGCCUCAGCCAGAAGCUCAGACACGGUAUCCCCACGGGACUUGCUCUGGCAACCCCAGGGCCUCAGCACCACCAACUCUCUACCUUCAGUCUCCCCUCCAGACAGUUCCUUGGACAGAGGCCAAGGGGAGGGUAGGAACAGAUGCCCGGGGUCCAGGGCACUCAGGGAGCCCUAUCUCUCUGGUCCCACCUCCUGAGGCCCUUCAGCAGAGAUGGCUCAGUACCAGCACCCUAGACAACACAAAUUACGCCUGCCCCUCCCCCCACCCCCGACUCUUGUCACCCCCCACACCUCUAUUAUCCUUUAACCUCGCCAAGGUCAGGACGCCUCUGUGUCUGCCUGUAUGAGACAUGGUGGCAGCAAAGUAGAAUUGUUUUUAAUAAGAAUACCAGAAAUGAUGGGAGCAGGUGGGAGGCUGACACUGGAGAAGGUCUGUCUCUAAAGUGAGCUCAACUCCUCUCAAGCCUUGAACACAGCAGAGACAGCACCUGCUGCAGUCCAGUUAGGGCAGUAGCCAAAAGUGGGAAAUCUGGUGACACAAUCCACAUCCUCUUCCCAGGCCAGAUCUGGUCUAUCCCACUGGACAGAAGGAUCAUUCUUUCCAUCUGUGGCUCACACAUCACAUGUACCCUCUCCUACCCCCACUUCUCAUCCCAAGGACCGGUCUGGAAUGGAAAGAACAGAUCAUCCAGGCACCACUGAAGUUUCCACCACACGCCCGGCCACUGCCCUUCUCCUGGGAGCCUGGGAAAAGGGCCUCGACGUCCUCCUGAGUCAGCGUCUACGCCCCUAGCAGAGCAUCAGCUGAGCUGAGUCAGCCACCAGGAGCCAGGAAGUACUUGGAAAAUAGACCUCAAAACGGACCCCCAACUCAGGAGAAAAGGCUAGACAUUAGGAAAGAGCCAGAGCCUUGGUUUAUUCACGAUCUCAUGGAGAAGGGUGGGGAAGGGUGGGAGGGGCCCUGAAGCCCUUUCCAUCCCUUGGUUCCAUGAAUCUGAAGGGCAGGACACCGGAGGCUUACUCUGACGUCUUUAGAGAUCUGCCUCCAAACCCCAAACUCACUUCCCCCAGACAUGUCAUGAAGGCUACCGCUUGUGAAAUACAAGGGAAUUUCAGAAGAGCCUGAAUUUAGGUUGGGCUCCCAGGACCCUUCUUACCUCACCCUGGACUUGAGCUGCCUACCUGGGUUCUCUGACUCCGUUCUCUCCACUACCUCACAGUGUAUCUUCUGAAGAGAAUGUAGUUACACACCCUCCGUCACCUGGCUACACAUUUUUUCAGUGGCUCUCCAUUCUGCUAAGAGUGAAGUUCCAACUAUUUAGCCUGGAUUUUAUGCUUCUCUACAAACAGGUCCCUCUGGCUACCAGUUUCCAAGGUAGCCACAGAGGUCCUUCAGGGACUUGAGCCUCAGGGAAUGUGGGGUUACUCCAAGUGACUGUUACAGUGACUGACAUCGGAAGGCUUAGUGGCCUUCCAGGUCCCACCAAUCGGCAUAUGCUUCAUAAUUCCUAUGAAGGACUUGUUAAUAAUUCCAAGUUCAGGGACUUGUAAAAUCUGGGGGAAAUUCUCUGAGAAGGUGGCCCUUCUUCAAAGAGUAAUGGAUGAAAGAAAACUAUACCCUGAAGAUAACCGGUCUAGUGCCCUGGCUGGGAAGCUACUUGGUUCAGGAAAAAAGCUAAAAGCUUUGAGUGAUGCUUCUAAUGUAUUGUGUAACCAAAUGCAAGUUCCUAAAUCUUUUCUCCCUCUGGUUUCCUCAUCAGCUGCACAUGGAUGAUAGCACCGACCACAUCUAUCUCAAAGACAGGUGAACACAACAUUACUCUCACCCUAGCCCCUAGGUCCCUGUUGUACCAUCUUUAAGAUCCCCACCCCUGUCUGCAGGGCUCAGCUGAGCCUAUCCUGGCUGCUACAUGGAUACAGCCACUGACCAUGGAGACAAAUCAGAUUUCCUCUGGGUCUGAGAGAUCCUUGUAGCCCCACUGAGGCUCCCGACUCUGUUCUCUCAUGAUAGGCCCAGCAGUGAGGAAGGCCUUUGCCAGCUAGAGAGCCUGGUGUUGCCUGGGAAACCCUCUCAGGAGCUGGUGAGAGCCAACGAGGGGCCUAAAGGUCUAGCAUGGUUUCCAGCCACACUGCUCUUCUCACAUGCACUGCCCACCAUCACUCUGCUUCAACUCCAAGCUUGUGACGUGAUGGAGCAGAGACUCUGGCCUUCAGUGGCCUGCUCAUGUGCUCCCUUGGGAGCGGAUCCAGAGGAUCCACAGGGGCCCACACUGGUAUCCUCAUCUGUGAGAUUCCAGCCUGCCCCCCUCCAGCAGCCUGGCCUGCCCCUUCUCCCAGCUCUGACCCCAACCUCCAGUAGAAAACCUGAUACCCAAGAGAGCAGAAGGGCAUGAUUCUGGGGGUAGGGGGGACAGGAGGAUCAAACAUGUUGUGAUGCCAGGCCCGGCAUGGAUACCCUUUGGAACUUCCUUCCUGGACUCCAAAGAGGCAGUGGGAUGAGCUCAGAAUCCCAUGGCUACCCGGGCAGAGCACCUGUUCACCCAAUCCAUCUUCACUCCACAGUCUUCCUUCCAUUCCAUUCUGCUUUAGCAGCUAUUCUGAGGAAAAGGCCAAGGUGCCACAGUUCAAAGGGGACUAGGGUCAUCAAUCAGGUGAAGGGCUGAGCUAGGCUGAGGCAAAGGCUGCCAAACUCAUAGUCUCUCACAGGAAAGAUAGCGAUGGUCGCUUGGGCGUGAAGAAGUUUCACUUCUCUUCUCUUGAACCGUUUCUUCAGAAUCAAGAGGCCCCAGGAAGGGAGCGGGGAAAUAUACACAGCUGGCCUGGGGAGGUUGGGGGUGCUGUGAGGGGACGGAUGGCAGCCCGGGUGGCAGGCCAGGCUGGGCAAACAUGCUAGGCACGAAGGAACGUGCACGGUGAGGCCCCCAUACUGUUCCAGGUGAGGCCGGCUGUCCCACCAUCCUCUAAAUCCUUGUUAGCAAAAAGUGGCACUUUGCAGAGUCCCACCUCCCCCACCUCCCAACACUGGACACUCAGUGACUGGGCUAGGUGGAGAGGCUAACGAGCUAUCUCUUAACUGCUAGCUGACAGUCCAAAUACCGACCUUAUCAAGACUUUGCACUAGGACUUCUUCUGAGGUAAGGACAAGGAACAAUGUGUCCCAAAGCAGCAAGGGGUUAAAAACAAACAAAAACCUCAAAGGACCUAUUAUCACCACCAGCACAACAACAAAAAACUCCAAGAAACAGCACAGCAGUGGGAUAUUGGCCUUGGGAGACAGUGGAAAGGAGCCCCUUUCCCCAGUAGCUACCCAGUCAACACCCCACCCCCACCCGCAUACCUGCAUCCUGACUCCUUGCUUUGCGACCACAUCGCUACCCCCCUGUGAGGCCAGUCCCUCAUCAACCACUCCCUACCUCCCCCUGCCUCAGCCAGUGGCUGCUAGUAAGGGUCUGCUCAGGUAGCCAUGUGACAGGCUGGGCUGGCUGUGGCUGCAGGUAAGCUUGGCACUUGCCCUGAGGAAAGGGACUCGGUGGCCUGUCCUUGGAAGUGCCCUGUUCUGGGACUCAGCAAAUCUGCAAAGGAUAGAGGCUGGGAACAGUAAGAACAGGCCGAUGGCGAGAGUGCCACCACCCACCCCCUGCCAAAUUCCCCACUGCCACUGGGAGACACCCUGGUAGGGGGAGGCCAGCCUGGAACAGACAGCAUGGGGCAGAGCCCUGAGCCAGGCCUCCCAGCACACAGGAUGGGACAGGAACAGGCCACAUCUGGGAGCGCCCGUCAGGACUGAGGGCACAAACCCCUCUUGGGGGCAGAAAGUCAACCCAAGGAAUCCUCUACUUGUUCCCCUUCCCCCAGCUGGGUCUCAGGAGCUUGCUCGGAGAGAUCAAUUUGACUCAAGGCUUAGUCCCAAGAUCCUUUCCAGCCAUUGGCAGGUAGCCACAAGAAGCCACAGGAGUUUAUAGGAUAAAUGAAUAGAUAAGAUAUUGAUCACUUUAAGGAAAGAAGAAAGCUUUGAGAAGGAAGCUCUGUAAGGGAACCCCCGAGUGCUCAAACAGAAUGAAAAGACAAGGCUUUAAGCUACAGCUACAGCAUGAUGUUUUAUUUGGGCAAGUGGAAAACGUGGAAGAAUGUGAGGGUUGGAAGGGUUUGGAAGAGGUGGUCAACGCUAUGCAGACAGCACAGAUGGAAAUGUGCUGAUGGUGGAGUUGUGGUCCUGCCCAGCGAUCUUCCUCUCAAGAUUCUCUACGGGCCUAGCCCCACGCCUCACCCUCAUCCACCACUCUCCUGAGCAUGAAGGAUCCAGGGUAGGGGGCAUGAGCCGGAGGCCAAAAGGAGAACAGCAGUACUGCCCCUCCCCCACCACGACCCAAGGACCAACUCGGGCACAGCCAGAUGGGGGAGUGGUGGGCUUCGGGGACUCUACCCCUGGUGUCCGUCCUCAAUUCUGUUAUUACUUGGGGACAGCUCCACUCUGAUCUCAGCAUUCGGUUGGUACAGUUUGAAGAAGAAAUAAGGCCUUGACAGACCAUUCCAGACCAGUUCCCGGGCUCUAGGUCAGACAGCCCUGCCCAAAGCCAGGGAGGUACCAAUCUGCUCAGUAAGAAGGGAAAGAGGAAACAGCAGGGAGGAAGAGGAAGUAGAAGGCAGCAAUCACGAGUGGUGGUGGGGAGGGAGGGCAACCACCACAGGGUCAUGUGCUCUCAACCAGCUCUGACCCUGAGGGGCCCAAGGGGAUGGGGCGGGAAUAAUAAUUUUCCCUCCAGUUUCUCCUCCUGGAUCUCCCAUUCCUUUCCAGAGCAGCGCCUUGGCACCACAGCUCAUUUUAAGGAGCCUUUCUGCUGCCCUUCCCAAGCACUUCUUUGCAGUUACCAGGAAAAUCAGACAAGACAGCUGCUUCACAGCAUCUGGGGCCCCUGAUCUGAGGCCACGACGGAAUAGGGAAAAGAACGUCAGACUUAGACCCAAAGAGGCUGAGUCCUGCUGCUUGCUGUGGCCUUGGGCAAGUUGUUUAACUCUCUAAGCCUCAAUUUGAUCUUCUUUAAAUAAGAUAAUAAGCUCCUACACACAAGAUUGUUAUAGGAUUAAAUGAGAUGUAAUGGAUGUGGAAGCAUCUGGUGUACGGGUUCUUGGGAUGCAUUUGAAUGUCUUAUGUGUCUACUAAGGGUGGGCUCUAGGAUCUGGCAGUGUGAGCCCUCAGCAAACUCCGGAACGAGAGCCACUCAGUUUGCAGCCACCAGGCAGCCUCGGCCUCCAGCUCCCACGGGAAGGUUAGGGUGUGGGGAAAACAGUGACGUGGGAGUUCACAGCUCCGGCCUUCCUGAAGCCUUCCUCCUCCCUGUUCCUGCUCAUCCAGCCGGGCCUCCUCCCACAGACUUUUCUUCUCCUUGUCUCGAGCGGUUCCCCCUCACAGGGCCCCAGGAAAUGGGCCCAGCCCCGUAAGCACCAGCCACAGUCAUCUCUGGCAAGGUGCCCACAUUGCCGGCUGCCCCCAGACAUGCCCAUGCAGAUGCAAAGCAGAAUUCUGGCAGGGCACCAGCCCGGUCCAGGGCUGGGGUGACUCUUUCAGCCAUGAACAAGUUACCCACCCCAUCCUGACACAGAGGGGGAAGGGCAGUAGUAUUGGCUUCCUGGGCAGAGACCUCGCAGUCUCUGACUUUUGCUUGCACACUUCCGGCUGCCUGUCUCUCUCAGCCUCGUCUCCAGGGACUGCUCCUUCCGCACCCUACGCCCCUGCCAGCUGCAGUUACACGUUGUUAGUCCUGAAUAGACAGACUGUCUUCACUUCUGUGCCUUUGCUGGCUCCACGGCCUCCAGACCCAACAAGUCCAAUGCUACUUUUCCCUCCUGGCGAGGCUGGAUCCAUCCCUCCCUCCACAGAACUGCCCAAGCACUUAGCAAUGACCAAGGGCUAACUGUAUGCCUGGCACUGGGCUAAGGGCUUUAAAUACCUUCUCAUGUAAUCUCACCCAAACCCCGUGGUAUAGGUACAUCGUCAUUUCCAUUUUGUGGACAAGGACCUGGAGCCUUUUUACAUUUAUUUAUUUUUGGGAAACAGAGUGAGACAAAGAGUAAGCGGGGAGGGGCAGAGAGAGGGAGACACAGAACCCCAAACAGGCUCCAGGCUCCAAGCUCUGAGCUGUCAGCACAGAGCCCGAUGCGGGGCUCGAACCCGCGAACUGCGAGAUCAUGACCUGAGCCGAAGUCGGACGCUCAACCGACUGAGCCACCCAGGUGCGCCAGGACCUGGAGCCUUUAAAGGGUUAAAGUGAUUUGUGUGAGGCCAAAGGGCCCUGUGAUCUUUCCCCUCCCUCGCUCUCACCCAGAGGGCAGCAGAAAGACCCUGGGCCUGAGAGUCUGACAGACCUGGAUGCAAACUCCAGCCCAGUCACGUCCCUAGCUACGCGGUAUCGGACAAGCCACGUUACUUCUGUGCCUCCUUAUACCCAUACGUUAGGCGGCGAAACGAAUAAUCGCCUGGCAGUGAACUACAAACAAACAAUGUCUGGCACAAAGUAGUAGAAACAGUGAGCAGAAUAAGUCAAUAAUUAAUGUGUAGUCAAUGCUUAACAGGAGCCUGGAACUGGUCUGAGUACUUUACACACUGUACCUCAUUUGCUCCUCACGACAGUCUUGUGAGGUAGGUAUUACCAGUGUCCUCACUUCACAGACAAGGUAUCCAAAGCUCAGAGCCAGUCCACCCUCUGGUGUCCUAGUCUAGGGAGGUCUGCCUAGGUCAGCUUUCUUCACUUCUGCUUAAUUGAAAUGCCCUCCUUCGGGACCCAUGAAGUAGUAAGUCUGAAAACUGCACACAUCCUCUCUCCGGUUUGAGCCUCAGUUCCAUCCAGGAAGGUAGGACCGUGUUUUCAUCACUGCAGGCCUCAGAGUUCAAAAUAAUAAUGUGCCUCCAGCAGGAAGUACGUUAACGUUUAGUGUUUGAUAGGAGUCCAAACCUACACUCAUCGGGAAAGAAGUGAAAGAACACUUCCUGAGUGCCACUGGAAGUCAAGGAUUUUCACACAUCAUGAUUAUCCUCAGGAACCCACCUGGCUGGGGGGCAGCUGGAUGGCUCAGUUGGCUAAAGCAU